Pelobates cultripes (western spadefoot toad) is the source of this 6899-nucleotide non-coding RNA. The record is from the annotation of a GenBank genome assembly. NCBI's taxonomy places the organism in Eukaryota, Metazoa, Chordata, Amphibia, Anura, Pelobatidae.
AAACAUUUACCGGAUAUCCUGACUGACCGGCCGGCUGAAACCUUUACCGGAUAACCUGACUGGCCGGCCGGCCGAAACCUUAGUAGACAGGACACCCCUCCUGGCUCUCAGGAUCCCUGACUCGCUGUGACCGAUUAUCCCAUGUCUUGUUUGGAUUGACUUGUGGAUCGGACUUAUCGAUGGUGAUUACAUCCAGUUCUGAAGAGGUUCCCCCUCAGAGAAUGCUGUCAGCCUUACAGACGGAAUGGGCCAGUAAGGAUCCGGUGUGUUACCUGCCCCCCUCUCACUGCAGCAAGAAGCCUUCCAGGAGUGGGUAUUAUUAUUAAUACUAUUAUAACAGGCCUGCCAUAGCCCUGGGUGCAUUGUACUGUCACUUCCUACCAAUAGGCCCAGUAACAUGGGAGAUACUGUCACUGCAUUCACUGUGUGGGACUGUGUGUAUGGUGUAUGGCCCAGUAACAUGGGAGAUACUGUCACUGCAUUCACUGUAUGGGACUGUGUGUGUAUGGCCCAGUAACAUGGGAGAUACUGUCACUGCAUUCACUCUAUGGGACUGUGUGUGUAUGGCCCAGUAACAUGGGAGAUACUACCACUGCAUUGUAUGGGACUGUGUGUAUGGCCCAGUAACAUGGGAGAUACUGUCACUGCAUUCACUGUAUGGGACUGUGUGUAUGGCCCAGUAACAUGGGAGAUACUGUCACUGCAUUCACUCUAUGGGACUGUGUGUAUGGCCCAGUAACAUGGGAGAUACUGUCAGUGCAUUCACUGUAUGGGACUGUGUGUAUGGCCCAGUAACAUGGGAGAUACUGUCACUGCAUUCUCUUUAUGAGACUGUUUGUAUGGCCCAGUAACAUGGGAGAUACUGUCACUGCAUUCACUGUAUAGGACUGUGUGUAUGGCCCAGUAACAUGGGAGAUACUGUCACUGCAUUCACUGUAUAGGACUGUGUGUAUGGUGUAUGGCCCCGUAACAUGGGAGAUACUGUCACUGCAUUCACUGUAUAGAUACUGUCACUGCAUUCACUGUAUGGGACUGUGUGUGUAUGGCCCAGUAAAGUAGGAGAUACUGUCACUGCAUUCACUGUAUGGGACUGUGUGUAUGGCCCAGUAACAUGGGAGAUACUGUCACUGCCUUCACUGUAUGGGACUGUGUGUAUGGCCCAGUAACAUGGGAGAUAUGGUCACUGCAUUCACUGUAUGGGACUGUGUGUACGGCCCAGUAACAUGGGAGAUACUGUCACUGCAUUCACUUUAUAGGACUGUGUGUGGCCCAGUAACAUGGGAGAUACUGUCACUGCAUUCACUGUAUAGGACUGUGUAUGGCCCCGUAACAUGUAUAGGACUGUGUGUGGGGCUCAGUAACAUGGGAGAUACUGUCACUGCAUUCACUGUAUGGGACUGUGUGUAUGGCCCAGUAACAUGGGAGAUACUGUCACUGCAUUCACUGUAUGGGACUGUGUAUGGCCCAGUAACAUGGGAGAUAUUGUCACUGCAUUCACUGGAUGGGACUGUGUGUGUAUGGCCCCGUAACAUGGGAGAUACUGUCACUGCAUUAUCUGUAUGGGAUUGUGUGUGUAUGGCCCCGUAACAUGAGAGAUACUGUCACUGCAUUUUCUGUAUGGGACUGUGUGUGUAUUGCCCAGUAACAUGGGAGAUACUGUCACUGCAUUCUCUGUAUAGGACUGUGUGUGGGGCUCAGUAACAUGGGAGAUACUGUCACUGCAUUCACUGUAUGGGACUGUGUGUAUGGCCCAGUAACAUGGGAGAUAUUGUCACUGCAUUCACUGGAUGGGACUGUGUGUAUGGCCCAGUAACAUGGGAGAUAUUUUCACUGCAUUCACUGUGUCUAUGGUGUAUGGCCCAGUAACAUGGGAGAUACUGUCUCUGCAUUCACUGUGUGGGACUGUGUGUAUGGUGUAUGGCCCAGUAACAUGGGAGAUACUGUCACUGCAUUCACUCUAUGGGACUGUGUGUGUAUGGCCCAGUAACAUGGGAGAUACUGUCACUGCAUUCACUUUAUAGGACUGUGUGUAUGGCCCAGUAACAUGGGAGAUACCGUCACUGCAUUCACUGUAUGCGACUGUGUGUGUGUGGCCCAGUAACAUGGGAGAUACUGUCACUGCAUUCUCUGUAUAGGACUGUGUGUGUAUGGCCCAGUAACAUGGGAGUUAUUGUCACUGCAUUCACUGGAUGGGACUGUGUGUAUGGCCCAGUAACAUGGGAGAUAUUUUCACUGCAUUCACUGUGUCUAUGGUGUAUGGCCCAGUAACAUGGGAGAUACUGUCUCUGCAUUCACUGUGUGGGACUGUGUGUAUGGUGUAUGGCCCAGUAACAUGGGAGAUACUGUCACUGCAUUCACUCUAUGGGACUGUGUGUGUAUGGCCCAGUAACAUGGGAGAUACUGUCACUGCAUUCACUGUAUGGGACUGUGUGUGUAUGUGUGUUUUAUGGGAGAUACUGUCACUGCAUUCACUGUAUGGGACUGUGUGUGUAUGGCCAGUAACAUGGGAGAUACUGUCACUGCAUUCACUUUAUAGGACUGUGUAUGGCCCAGUAACAUGGGAGAUACUGUCACUGCAUUCACUGUGUAUGGGACUGUGUGUAUGGCCCAGUAACAUGGGAGAUACCGUCACUGCAUUCACUGUGUAUGGGACUGUGUGUGUGUGGCCCAGUAACAUGGGAGAUACUGUCACUGCAUUCUCUGUAUAGGACUGUGUGUGUAUGGCCCAGUAACAUGGGAGAUACUGUCACUGCAUUCACUGUAUAGGACUGUGUAUGGCCCAGUAACAUGGGAGAUACUGUCACUGCAUUCACUGUGUAUGGGACUGUGUGUAUGGCCCUUUAACAUGGGAGAUAUUGUCACUGCAUUCACUCUAUGGGACUGUGUGUAUGGCCCAGUAACAUGGGAGAUACUGUCACUGCAUUAUCUGUAUGGGAUUGUGUGUGUAUGGCCCCGUAACAUGGGAGAUACUGUCACUGCAUUAUCUGUAUGGCAUUGUGUGUGUAUGGCCCCGUAACAUGGGAGAUACUGUCACUGCAUUUUCUGUAUGGGACUGUGUGUGUAUGGCCCAGUAACAUGGGAGAUACUGUCACUGCAUUCUCUGUAUAGGACUGUGUGUGGGGCUCAGUAACAUGGGAGAUACUGUCACUGCAUUCACUGUGUAUGGGACUGUGUGUAUGGCCCAGUAACAUGGGAGAUACCGUCACUGCAUUCACUGUAUGGGGCUGUGUGUAUGGCCCAGUAACAUGGGAGAUACUGUCACUGCAUUCACUGUAUGGGACUGUGUGUAUGGCCCAGUAACAUGGGAGAUACUGUCACUGCAUUCACUCUAUGGGACUGUGUGUGUAUGGCCCAGUAACAUGGGAGAUACUGUCACUGCAUUCACUCUAUGGGACUGUAACAUGGGAGAUACUACCACUGCAUUGUAUGGGACUGUGUGUGUAUGGCCCAGUAACAUGGGAGAUACUGUCACUGCAUUCACUGUAUGGGACUGUGUGUAUGGCCCAGUAACAUGGGAGAUACUGUCACUGCAUUCACUGUAUGGGACUGUGUGUAUGGCCCAGUAACAUGGGAGAUACUGUCACUGCAUUCACUCUAUGGGACUGUGUGUGUAUGGCCCAGUAACAUGGGAGAUACUACCACUGCAUUGUAUGGGACUGUGUGUAUGGCCCAGUAACAUGGGAGAUACUGUCACUGCAUUCACUGUAUGGGACUGUGUGUAUGGCCCAGUAACAUGGGAGAUACUGUCACUGCAUUCACUGUAUGGGACUGUGUGUAUGGCCCAGUAACAUGGGAGAUACUGUCACUGCAUUCACUGUAUGGGACUGUGUGUAUGGCCCAGUAACAUGGGAGAUACUGUCACUGCAUUCACUCUAUGGGACUGUGUGUGUAUGGCCCAGUAACAUGGGAGAUACUGUCACUGCAUUCACUCUAUGGGACUGUAACAUGGGAGAUACUACCACUGCAUUGUAUGGGACUGUGUGUGUAUGGCCCAGUAACAUGGGAGAUACUGUCACUGCAUUCACUGUAUGGGACUGUGUGUAUGGCCCAGUAACAUGGGAGAUACUGUCACUGCAUUCACUCUAUGGGACUGUGUGUAUGGCCCAGUAACAUGGGAGAUACUGUCACUGCAUUCACUCUAUGGGACUGUGUGUAUGGCCCAGUAACAUGGGAGAUAUUGUCACUGUAUGGGACUGUGUGUAUGGCCCAGUAACAUGGGAGAUAUUGUCACUGCAUUCACUCUAUGGGACUGUGUGUAUGGCCCAGUAACAUGGGAGAUACUGUCACUGCAUUCACUCUAUGGGACUUUGUGUGUAUGGCCCAGUAACAUGGGAGAUACUACCACUGCAUUGUAUGGGACUGUGUGUGUAUGGCCCAGUAACAUGGGAGAUACUGUCACUGCAUUCACUGUAUGGGACUGUGUGUAUGGCCCAGUAACAUGGGAGAUACUGUCACUGCAUUCACUCUAUGGGACUGUGUGUGUAUGGCCCAGUAACAUGGGAGAUACUGUCACUGCAUUCACUGUAUGGGACUGUGUGUAUGGCCCAGUAACAUGGGAGAUACUGUCACUGCAUUCACUCUAUGGGACUGUGUGUGUAUGGCCCAGUAACAUGGGAGAUACUGUCACUGCAUUCACUCUAUGGGACUUUGUGUGUAUGGCCCAGUAACAUGGGAGAUACUACCACUGCAUUGUAUGGGACUGUGUGUGUAUGGCCCAGUAACAUGGGAGAUACUGUCACUGCAUUUACUGUAUGGGACUGUGUGUAUGGCCCAGUAACAUGGGAGAUACUGUCACUGCAUUCACUCUAUGGGACUGUGUGUGUAUGGCCCAGUAACAUGGGAGAUAUUGUCACUGUAUGGGACUGUGUGUCUAUGGCCCAGUAACAUGGGAGAUACUGUCACUGCUUUCACUCUAUGGGACUGUGUGUGUAUGGCCCAGUAACAUGGGAGAUACUGUCACUGCAUUCACUGUAUGGGACUGUGUGUGUAUGGCCCAGUAAGAUGGGAGAUACUGUCCCUGUAUGGGACUGUGUGUAUGGCCCAGUAACAUGGGAGAUACUGUCACUGCAUUCACUGUAUGGGGACUGUGUAUGGAUCAGUAACAUGGAAGAUACUACCACUGCAUUGUAUGGGACUGUAUAUGGCCCAGUAACAUGGGAGAUACUGUCAAUGUAUUAUAUGGAACUGUGUGGUUUAUGGCCCAGUAACAUGGGAGAUACUGUCACUGCAUUCACUGUUUGGGAUUGUGUGCUUCCUAUUGCGGAAUGGGAGAUAUUGUCCCUGUUUGGGAUUGUGUGAUUCCUAUUGCGGAAUGGGAGAUAUUGUCCCUGUUUGGGAUUGUGUGAUUCCUAUUGCGGAAUGGGAGAUAUGGUCCCUGUUUGGGAUUGUGUGAUUCCUAUUGCAGAAUGGGAGAUAUUGUCCCUGUUUGGGAUUGUGUGAUUCCUAUUGCAGAAUGGGAGAUACUGUCACUUCAUUCACUGUUUGGGAUUGUGUGAUUCCUAUUGCGGAAUGGGAGAUACUGUCACUGUGUUCACUGUUUAGGCUUGUGUGCUUCUUAUUGCGGAAUGGGCCAAUAAGCGUAACUUAGACCUGUGUAUGAGAUGGGCUCUGCAGGACUUCUCAUGUUUAGACACAAAGUUAAUAGUGUGGAAGUCAAUGAAAGGGUACUGGAGUUGUAAAAUUGCUGGUUACAUGUUGCAAUGAAUUUGGUUUGCAAGCAGUAGGUAACGUUUGCCAUUUUCAGGUAUCCGGCCUUCGUUACCUGUACAUUACGCUCGGAUCUUUAUGGCCAUUCAGUGUUUAGCAGUAUUCUCCAGUCUCCUGUUACAUGGAGAUUUGGCAGCUUCUUGUUUCAGGGUCAAUAUAGCAGGAGUAAUGUUUUUUUGGGACUUCAAACAAUUAGUUCUCUGUGUAAGGUUACUCUAAGCACUUUGAACCCUCCCAACCAGUUGGUUUUUGGUGAGAGUAACCCUUGAACUAACUAUUUGUUUUGUGGUUUAAGCAAUUAAACUUAUGAUCUGCUAUGUGAUGACUGUUAAAGGCUAAAUGUGUCGGGUGCAAUAAUAUGGAGCGACGUAAAACAUCUAUAAACUGCAGGUGAACAUAUCAUGAAUGGUGGUCUUAAAGGAGCACUCUAACCACUGCAGUGGGUUGUAUUAGGUUUGGUGCUUGGUGUGUUCCUUAAAAAAAAAAAAAAGACUGAAACAUUACAGGCUUGUUUUUGUCAUCCUAUGUAUUUAUUGACCACAGAGAUUUAAAGUGAGCCGGUCAUGGUUUCUCCUUAUGGUUUUUGUUUCCUUCUGUCAAUGUAGCUUAAUGAUUACAAGCUGCCCUUUCCACAUGCCUGUAUUUUAUUUUAUAUCUUCUUCCUUGUGCCAGAUCUCAAUACCUGGGCACAGCCAUGUUGUUACCCUCUGCCCAUUGUGUCUGCUUUUUGCCUUUUUGUGAGAACGACUUUACUGAUUGUGGGUAUAUUUGGCAACAGAAACCUUGCUUUAGAUCCUGCCCAUUGUCAGUUUAUCUGCUAUUCACAUGGCAAAGUAGUCCCAACUUUUAAUGUAUUGUAUGAAAACAGUGCUCAGGAAAAAAGAAUCACACAUGGCUAUUUUCAAGCAUGUUAGAUAUGGUUUGUUUUUGGUGACAGUCAAAGGGAGUGCAUUCAGAGCUGGCAUUGGUUUUAAACCACAAUGCAAAACUGAAAUCAUGGUACUUUACUGCAUACACUUUUAUACAUUGUGCUAGCUUAGUUACUAGAUAUAUAUAUAUAUAUAUAUUUUUUUCUAUAGAACAGGAUUUAAGAAAUAAAAAUUGGUCGUCUUGGUGACUAGUAAUUGUUUCCUGGUGCCUGUGUGUCAGCCUGUUCAGCACUAAAGGCAGCAGCCAUAGGGCAUGUGAAGCCA